Molecule: non-coding RNA, 326 nt
Organism: Mesocricetus auratus (golden hamster)
Lineage: Eukaryota; Metazoa; Chordata; Mammalia; Rodentia; Cricetidae
Source: Rfam
AGACUAUGAGGAUGAUCCAGCAGUGACACCUGUUACCCCACUGAUCACUAGGGUUGAUUAUUACGUUGAUAUGGCUGCUUAGUUGGGUGUUUCCUUCUCUCCUCAUAGUUCAAAGCAUAUCCCUCCCAAAAGUCCUGUGCUCAGAUCAAGAGGACAACUUCCCAUAUUGAGAAAGACUGGUGUUUUCUUUGUUUUUGUUAAGGAUAUGUGAAUAGCUGCAUUCCCCAACAAAACCUCCAAACAAGAGCUCUAAAGAAACUAGAAAUGGAGUUUUAGGUGUUAAGGUUGUCACACAGUUUUGUUUUGGUGCUGGGGAUCAAACCCAU